GGAAGGUAUAGCUCAGUGGUAGAGCACAUGCUUAGCAUGCAUGAGGUCCUGGGUUCAAUCCCCAGUACCUCCA
This 73-nucleotide transfer RNA is filed under the name Vicugna pacos (alpaca). Its description in RNAcentral is "tRNA-Ala (AGC) (tRNA-Ala-AGC-128-1, tRNA-Ala-AGC-128-2)". It matches the Rfam family "tRNA". Rfam says of the family: Transfer RNA (tRNA) molecules are approximately 80 nucleotides in length. Their secondary structure includes four short double-helical elements and three loops (D, anti-codon, and T loops). The record is from RNAcentral. Lineage: Eukaryota; Metazoa; Chordata; Mammalia; Artiodactyla; Camelidae.